GUCAGCGAUUUGAGCAAAACUGGUCCUGAAUUUUUCCUUUAAUUCAUCUAAUUUUCUUCACGUCAGAGCCGCAAGAGCAACAUCGUCUCUUCAAUAUAUCUUAAUGAACUGGCCCCAACACAGAACUGACAUGCAUAAAGUUCACCAAGGAGGAAGAAACCGACAACAAAC
Non-coding RNA from Chiloscyllium plagiosum (whitespotted bambooshark), 171 nucleotides. The record is from RefSeq and is a predicted model, not a curated record. NCBI's taxonomy places the organism in Eukaryota, Metazoa, Chordata, Chondrichthyes, Orectolobiformes, Hemiscylliidae.